UGCUUAGCUUUAGAUUUGCGUUGUCAAAUCUGUUGGGAAAGUUUGAUUAUUGUGGCUUUGGGAGCUUUUGGAACUUAUUUGUGCUUGUUGGAGUGGAUUUGAAAGCUUGGAUUGUGGUUGGAAGCUUGUUGGUGCUCAUUUUGAGUUUGGGUGCAUAAAGGGAAUCGGCCAAGAUGCAGGUCGCAACCCAUCUCGGUGAGUUGCUUUGGUUGGUGACAGGAGCGGAGAAUCUUGGGUCAUUUUGAGUUCUUUUUGGUUUAUUUUGUUUAUACAUCUCUCCUUUUGUAUUUUGUUUUGCCUAGAGGCAUGUAUUUGAGAGAACAAAACUUGUAUAAGCUGUUUUCACUGUAUGGUUUUGUAUAUCAGUAUAUGGCUA
This is a long non-coding RNA of Arachis duranensis, 376 nucleotides long. RefSeq lists it as uncharacterized. Lineage: Eukaryota; Viridiplantae; Streptophyta; Magnoliopsida; Fabales; Fabaceae. The transcript has 3 exons. The record is from RefSeq and is a predicted model, not a curated record.